CUUAACUGUGAGAGGCCAGCCAAAACUGCCAGACUUGAGCGGGGUAGAGGAGAGCGGAAUUCCUGGUGUAGUGGUGGAAUGCGUAGAGAUCAGGAGGAACCCCAGUGGCGAAAGCGGCUCUCUGGACCUUAGCUGACGCUGAGAUGCGAAAGCGUGGGGAGCGAACGGGAUUAGAUACCCCGGUAGUCCACGCUGUAAACGAUGGAUACUAGGUGUAGCGAGGGAUUGAUCUUGCUGUGCCGCAGCCAACGCGAUAAGUAUCCCGCCUGGGGAGUACGGCCGCAAGGCUAAAACUCAAAGGAAUUGACGGGGGCCCGCACAAGCAGCGGAGCGUGUGGUUUAAUUCGAUGCUACGCGAAGAACCUUACCUGGGUUUGACAUGUAGGUAGUAGAGGCGUGAAAGCGUCUCGACCCUUCGGGGAGCC
RNAcentral lists this ribosomal RNA (425 nucleotides) under uncultured bacterium. RNAcentral describes it as "bacterial SSU rRNA". It matches the Rfam family "Bacterial small subunit ribosomal RNA", at positions 608 to 1029 of the family's 1533-position model. The record is from RNAcentral.